AAAAAGACAAACCCUGAGUUUCCGUAUCCAACUUUGACUGUCUGUCUUAUAUAAAAUUUUUUUAUAAUUCAUAUUUUUAUUUUGUUAGAUGAUAAAACAUAAUUAAUAUUUUAUACUUUACUUGUCUUUUUAAUUUUUUGAUAAUUUUUUUAAAUAAAAUAAAUGGUCAAAUGUUGGACACGGAAACCAAG
RNAcentral lists this microRNA precursor (191 nucleotides) under Oryza sativa Indica Group (long-grained rice). Its description in RNAcentral is "MIR812 microRNA precursor family". It matches the Rfam family "MIR812 microRNA precursor family". Lineage: Eukaryota; Viridiplantae; Streptophyta; Magnoliopsida; Poales; Poaceae. The record is from Rfam by way of RNAcentral.